AACCCAGUUUCGGGGACCUUGGUACAGGCAGGCCGGGGAAUCCCCUUCUUUCUUUGGGAGCCUCGGUACAGGCAGGCCGGGACCUCCCUUCUUUCUUCGGGGACUCUGAUACAGGCAGAUCAGAUAAUCCCCCUUUUCUUCGGGAGCCCUGGUACAGGCAGGCCGGGAACUCCCUCUUUUCUUCCUAACGC
Molecule: non-coding RNA, 191 nt
Filed under: Pseudomonas fulva 12-X
Lineage: Bacteria; Pseudomonadati; Pseudomonadota; Gammaproteobacteria; Pseudomonadales; Pseudomonadaceae
Description: Nitrogen regulated small RNA
Rfam family: Nitrogen regulated small RNA
About the family: Its transcription is induced during nitrogen limitation by the NtrB/C two-component system (an important regulator of nitrogen assimilation and swarming motility) together with the alternative sigma factor RpoN (a global regulator involved in nitrogen metabolism). By activating rhlA (a gene essential for rhamnolipids synthesis) it positively regulates the production of rhamnolipid surfactants needed for swarming motility.
Source: Rfam by way of RNAcentral